CCUACGGGCGGCAGCAGUGGGGAAUAUUGCGCAAUGGGCGAAAGCCUGACGCAGCGACGCCGCGUGAGGGAUGAAGGUCUUCGGAUUGUAAACCUCUGUCAGCAGGGAAGAACGGUCACGGUGCUAAGCAGCAGUGAAUGGACGGUACCUGCAAAGGAAGCACCGGCUAACUCCGUGCCAGCAGCCGCGGUAAUACGGAGGGUGCGAGCGUUAAUCGGAAUUACUGGGCGUAAAGCGCUCGUAGGCGGUAUGUCAAGUCAAGGGUGAAAUCCCCGCGCUCAACGUGGGAACUGCCUUUGAAACUUGCAAACUGGAUUGUGUGAGAGGUUAGUGGCAUUCCCGGUGU
RNAcentral lists this ribosomal RNA (346 nucleotides) under uncultured bacterium. Its description in RNAcentral is "partial 16S ribosomal RNA". It matches the Rfam family "Bacterial small subunit ribosomal RNA", at positions 338 to 676 of the family's 1533-position model. The record is from RNAcentral.